This 254-nucleotide small RNA is filed under the name Phascolarctos cinereus (koala). Its description in RNAcentral is "Metazoan signal recognition particle RNA (ENSPCIG00000008028.2)". The record is from RNAcentral. Lineage: Eukaryota; Metazoa; Chordata; Mammalia; Diprotodontia; Phascolarctidae.
GCUGGGCAUAGUGGCACAUCUGUAACCCCUGAGACUGGGGAGGCUGAGACUAGUAGAUUCAGUCUGAGCUUCAGUGGGCUAGGCCAACGGGGUGUCCACACUAAGUCUGGCACCAAUGUGGGGAGCCUAAGGGGUUAACUGACCCAGGUCAGAAAUGGAGCAGGUCAAAGCUCCCAUGCUGAUCAGUAUUGGGAUCUGGACUAUGAAUGACCAAUGCGCCUGCAGCCUGGAUGAGAUAGAGAGACUCAGUCUUA